This 68-nucleotide transfer RNA is filed under the name Seladonia tumulorum. RNAcentral describes it as "tRNA-Trp". Lineage: Eukaryota; Metazoa; Arthropoda; Insecta; Hymenoptera; Halictidae. The record is from RNAcentral.
AAGAUUUUAAGUUAACCAAACUUAAAGCCUUCAAAGUUUUACAUAUAUUCUCACCAAUAUAAAUCUUA